GCGCACUUGUUGAGUUUGGGAACUUUCAGAGGCUUGAACUUCUCACUUUGGACGCAGCGGAGCUCUCACAUCAUCAUCAUCAUCAGAUUCAGGCGACGUGGAUUUAUGCUGACUUUUUACGUGUAGGACUAUGUUUUGCUUUGUCGAAGUUGAUGUGGAUUGUCUUUAGUGUUUUCCGCGUUAGACGCACACAGCGUGCGCGAGUAAUAAAUAACAUAACUGUGAGGAUGUGGAUGCGCCUUUAAUGCAUAUACAGAUUCAUAUCUGAAGGAGAGUUAGUGUUUGUGGGGCUAUUGGGAUAUGGGACUAUUUAUGCACUACCAUUGGAUUUUAAAUGCUCUCUAAAGGGACACUCGGUGGUGCAGUGAAUGGAGAACAUCGCAGCUUUGCCAAGAAUAAACUUCUCGAUCAACUCCUCUUCAUACCUUGGCAGCUCAGAAGUUUCUUCAAUCCUCAAAAUGUCAAACCCAGCUUCCUGAGGAGAGCGUGGUUUUCAUUUGCUUUGAUGUUGGCCUUCCCCUUGUCUUUCUGCUUGUUAAUUUAAACCGUGGAAGACAAUCAGCGCUGGAGGAUGAAAAAUGUGAUAAACAUUGGAAAGAGGCUGGUUUGGGGUCAUGAUGCUCUCUGGCUGGAUGCUGAUAAUUCGCCAACAAAUGUGAUGGUCUCUCCUUGAAGAGUUCUGUGCUUAAAGCAAAAGUACUAAAAGACAUUCAUCUUCUUCUCUGUCUUCACAUUAAACCAGCUUGAGUGAGAUCCAAUUAAACCUGGC
Molecule: long non-coding RNA, 769 nt
Filed under: Sinocyclocheilus anshuiensis
Lineage: Eukaryota; Metazoa; Chordata; Actinopteri; Cypriniformes; Cyprinidae
Description: lncRNA (ENSSANG00000011791.1)
Source: RNAcentral